CUAGUUGCAUGCUGUAGAGACCCGAAACCGGGUGACCUAUCCAUGGUGAUAAGCUGCGAUAAGCUUCGGGAGGCGCACAUAGCCAGAGAUCCGGAGAUUCCGAAUGGGGAAACCCGCAUGAGAAACCUCAUGCAUCGUAAAGUGAAUACAUAGCUUUAUGAAGGAACACCUAGGGAACUGAAACAUCUAAGUACCUAGAGGAAGAGAAAGAAAAAUCGAUUUUCUUAGUAGCGGCGAGCGAAAAGGAAAGAGCCCAAACCAGAGAUUUAUCUCUGGGGUUGCGGACAGAACAUAACGUGAAAUUAUGAUUAACCGAACACAACUGGAAAGUUGGACCGUAGGAGGUAAUAGUCCUGUAAGUAAAAGUCAUAAUGAUCAGUUCUGCACCAGAGUACCACGAGACACGUGAAACCUUGUGGGAAGCAGGGAGGACCACCUCCCAAGGCUAAAUACUACCUGAUGACCGAUAGUGAAGCAGUACCGUGAGGGAAAGGUGAAAAGAACCCCGGGAGGGGAGUGAAAUAGAACCUGAAACCAUGUGCCUACAACCGAUCAAAGCACCUUAUGUGUGUGAUGAUGUGCUUUUUGUAGAACGAGCCAACGAGUUACGGUAUGUAGCGAGGUUAAGUACUUAAGGUACGGAGCCGAAGGGAAACCGAGUCUUAAUAGGGCGACUAGUUGCAUGCUGUAGACCCGAAACCGGGUGACCUAUCCAUGGCCAGGUUGAAGCGAGGGUAAAACCUCGUGGAGGACCGAACCACGUUGCUGUUGAAAAAGCAUGGGAUGAGCUGUGGAUAGCGGAGAAAUUCCAAUCGAACUCGGAUAUAGCUGGUUCUCCUCGAAAUAGCUUUAGGGCUAGCGUCGUGAAAUGUGAGUACUGGAGGUAGAGCACUGAAUAGGCUAGGGGGCAUAGCGCUUACCGAACCUUAUCAAACUCCGAAUGCCAGAUACUAUCAGCACGGCAGUCAGACUAUGAAAGAUAAGUUCCAUGGUCAAAAGGGAAACAGCCCAGAUCGUCAGCUAAGGUCCCAAAGUGUAAGUUAAGUGGAAAAGGAUGUGGGAUUUCUAAGACAACUAGGAUGUUGGCUUAGAAGCAGCCACUCAUUAAAAGAGUGCGUAAUAGCUCACUAGUCAAGAGAUCCUGCGCCGAAAAUGUCCGGGGCUCAAACUUACCACCGAAGCUACGGGUUCAUACUUUGUAUGAGCGGUAGAGGAGCGUCGUAAUCGGGCUGAAGUCGUACCGUAAGGAGCGGUGGACUGAUUACGAGUGAGAAUGUUGGCAUUAGUAGCGAGAUGUAGGUGAGAAUCCUACAGGCCGAAUAUCUAAGGUUUCCUGAGUAAAGUUUGUCUUCUCAGGGUUAGUCGGGACCUAAGGCGAGGCCGAGAGGCGUAGUCGAUGGACAAUUGGUUGAUAUUCCAAUACCACUAUAAUCGUUAUUAUCGAUGGUGUGACGGAGAAGGAUAGGAUGUGCCAGCUAUUGGAUGCUGGUCUAAGCGUUGAGGGAGUUAGAACAGGCAAAUCCGUUCUAACAAUCCUAGGGCGUGAUGGGGAAGGUUCCACGGAACCGAAGUAUCUGAUUUCAUGCUUCCAAGAAAAGCAUCUAGAAAGAGAAGUAGUGCCCGUACCGCAAACCGACACAGGUAGAUGAGGAGAGAAUCCUAAGGCCGACGGAAGAAUCACAGUUAAGGAACUAGGCAAAUUGACCCCGUAACUUCGGGAGAAGGGGUGCCUACCAUUUGGUAGGCCGCAGAGAAUAGGCACAAGCAACUGUUUAACAAAAACACAGGUCUCUGCUAAAGCGUAAGCUGAUGUAUAGGGCUGACGCCUGCCCGGUGCUGGAAGGUUAAGGGGAACACUUAGCGCAAGCGAAGGUGUGAACUUAAGCCCCAGUAAACGGCGGCCGUAACUAUAACGGUCCUAAGGUAGCGAAAUUCCUUGUCAGGUAAGUUCUGACCCGCACGAAUGGCGUAAUGACUUGUGCACUGUCUCAACUGUGAAUCCGGCGAAGUUGUAGUGCGAGUGAAGAUGCUCGCUACCCGCGAUUGGACGGAAAGACCCCGUAGAGCUUUACUGUAGCUUAGCAUUGAAUUUCGGUAUUGUCUGUACAGGAUAGGUGGGAGACUGGGAAAUUAGGGCGUCAGCUUAAUGGAGUCGUUGUUGGGAUACCACCCUGAUAGUAUUGAAGUUCUAACUGGAUGCCAUGAAACUGGUGACAGGACAUUGUUAGGUGGGCAGUUUGACUGGGGCGGUCGCCUCCUAAAAUGUAACGGAGGCGCCCAAAGGUUCCCUCAGAACGGUCGGAAAUCGUUCGUAGAGUGUAAAGGCAUAAGGGAGCCUGACUGCGAGACCUACAAGUCGAGCAGGGACGAAAGUCGGGCUUAGUGAUCCGGUGGUACCUCGUGGGAGGGCCAUCGCUCAACGGAUAAAAGCUACCUCGGGGAUAACAGGCUGAUCUCCCCCAAGAGUUCACAUCGACGGGGAGGUUUGGCACCUCGAUGUCGGCUCGUCGCAUCCUGGGGCUGAAGUAGGUCCCAAGGGUUGGGCUGUUCGCCCAUUAAAGCGGCACGCGAGCUGGGUUCAGAACGUCGUGAGACAGUUCGGUCCCUAUCCGUCGCGGGCGUAGGAAAUUUGAGAGGAGCUGUCCUUAGUACGAGAGGACCGGGAUGGACUGACCUAUGGUGUACCAGUUGUUUCGCCAGAAGCAUAGCUGGGUAGCUAAGUCGGGAAGGGAUAAACGCUGAAAGCAUCUAAGUGUGAAGCCCACCUCAAGAUGAGAUUUCCCAUAGCAUAAGCUAGUAAGACCCCUUGA
RNAcentral lists this ribosomal RNA (2810 nucleotides) under Clostridium butyricum. RNAcentral's name for it is "bacterial LSU rRNA". It matches the Rfam family "Bacterial large subunit ribosomal RNA". The record is from RNAcentral. Lineage: Bacteria; Bacillati; Bacillota; Clostridia; Eubacteriales; Clostridiaceae.